CACGUAGGUGGCGAGGUAAGCCAAAGGUGAAAGCCCUCGGCUCAACCGAGGAAUUGCCUUUGAAACUGCUUUGCUUGAGUCCAGGAGGGGGGAGCGGAAUUCCCAGUGUAGCGGUGAAAUGCGUAGAUACUGGGAGGAACACCGGUGGCGAAGGCGGCUCCCUGGACUGGUACUGACACUGAGGUGCGAAAGCGUGGGUAGCAAACA
This 207-nucleotide ribosomal RNA is filed under the name uncultured bacterium. RNAcentral describes it as "partial 16S ribosomal RNA". It matches the Rfam family "Bacterial small subunit ribosomal RNA", at positions 568 to 774 of the family's 1533-position model. The record is from RNAcentral.